Molecule: ribosomal RNA, 484 nt
Filed under: uncultured bacterium
Lineage: Bacteria
Description: partial 16S ribosomal RNA
Rfam family: Bacterial small subunit ribosomal RNA
Source: RNAcentral
AUUGAACGCUGGCGGCAUGCUUUACACAUGCAAGUCGAACGGCAGCGCGGGCUUCGGCCUGGCGGCGAGUGGCGAACGGGUGAGUAAUGCAUCGGAACGUGCCCAGUAGUGGGGGAUAGCCCGGCGAAAGCCGGAUUAAUACCGCAUACGACCUGAGGGUGAAAGCGGGGGCCCGAAGGGCCUCGGCCUUUUGGGGGGGCCGAUGUCGGAUUAGCUAGUUGGUGGGGUAAAGGCUUACCAAGGCGACGAUCCGUAGCUGGUCUGAGAGGACGACCAGCCACACUGGGACUGAGACACGGCCCAGACUCCUACGGGAGGCAGCAGUGGGGAAUUUUGGACAAUGGGGGCAACCCUGAUCCAGCCAUGCCGCGUGCGGGAAGAAGGCCUUCGGGUUGUAAACCGCUUUUGUUCGGGAAGAAAUCCUCUGGGCUAAUACCCCGGGGGGAUGACGGUACCGGAAGAAUAAGCACCGGCUAACUACGUG